GUCUUCGUCUGUGACAGAAACAGAAUCUUCCUCAGAGGAAGAGAGUUCAGAUUACAGCUCAUCAUCUGAUUCCGAGGAAAAGAGGAGGCGGCGGAGGAAGAAAAAGCAGAAGAAGAAGGAGAGGCGUAGGAGGUACAGGUCAACUUCGGAGUCCUCUGAUUCUGAUUUAGGUUCAGAAUCUGAUUCUGAAGAUAGGAGCAGCCGGGGGAAAAGGAGGCACUGCAGAAAUCGCUAAAUGAGUUGGUCAAAAGCAGACUAGAUUAAUGAAUCAUAUUGGCUUCACUUUAUUCUGCAUAUACCUUAUAUCAUGCUCUUGGAGCUUAUCGAAUGAGAGCAAAAAUUAGUUAGCAGAUGUGUUUGUUUUUCAUUUCCUUUCCUCAGGUCUUACUUUGUGAUGUAAUAGUCCUGAGUCAGCGUAGUUCUCGUAUCAUGUUGAACUUUUUGUUGGUAUGAUGGUGGGUUUUCCUAUAUUAAUGAACUUGAUUUUACAAGUUAAGCAGGAAUCUGACUUUGUAAAUGGUGUAUAUCUUUCCUCCUGCUUUUCAAUGGUUACAUGCUUCUAUUUGCUCUUGCGAAGAUGUAAAUUUUAUCCUGAAAUUUGUUCGAGGUGGAUUCACAUCAGUUUAAUCCAAAUUGCCUGCCUUGAUAUAUUAUCGAGUUCCUUGUGGGAGCUGCGGCUGAUAUCAGAUUGCUUUCACCGUUGGAUUUAUAUUUUUCUCGUUGAGGCUGUGCUCCUAGAAGGAAGAAAACCGAAAGUUUAAGGCGUUGCUGUGUUGACCCCACGGCCCUUGGUUUGCAGUAUUUGUCAGAUCGUUUUAUUACAUAUUCCUUGUAUCAUUACACGUCGCUCAAGCGGCAUUGUUUGUAGCCUUAGGUGAAGGUUGUAGUUGAUUUUUGUCAUAGUGUUCACAAAGGUGAAGGAUGAUACGACACUUUCACCAUUAAGGCAAGACUUGUUGUAGGAAGAUAAGAAUAACGAGGAACUGUGAGGCCGUGUGAAACAAAUUCCAAGUUUUCAGUAAGGAUUUGCAACAAAAGCAUCUUUUAGAAUUGAGUGUAUACAAGUUCUG
Molecule: unclassified non-coding RNA, 1070 nt
Filed under: Hevea brasiliensis (rubber tree)
Lineage: Eukaryota; Viridiplantae; Streptophyta; Magnoliopsida; Malpighiales; Euphorbiaceae
Source: RNAcentral